Molecule: long non-coding RNA, 4293 nt
Organism: Hypanus sabinus (Atlantic stingray)
Lineage: Eukaryota; Metazoa; Chordata; Chondrichthyes; Myliobatiformes; Dasyatidae
Exons: 4
Source: RefSeq, a predicted model, not a curated record
CAAGACGCGACGUCACAUCCAGAUCCGCAUGGUCUACCUGGCGGCAACCGCCACAUCCGGGUCUCUUCCGAGACCCUGGUUGACACCUGUGGGCGGACCACCAUUUGCGUUGUUGCCUUUGGUCUCAGCGGCGUGGUGGACUGGCUCAAGGAACUCCAGGUACUUCCUCCUGUAGUUGAUACAAGACUUUGGUUUUGCUGACACGAAGUGAGAGGUGUUUGUGGCACCAUUCAGCCAGAUCUCCUACCUAAAUGCCAAUUCAUCACCACUUUUGAUUCAACUAACAACAGUGGUGUCAUCAGCAAACAUCAAUACUGUGUUGGAGGUGUACUUAGCCACAACCAAUCAUAAUUGAAAAUUGCAAGUAAGCACUGUCUGAGAAAAUGGACAACGUCAGCCUUCGUGCAGUCAUCCGCUACCUCGGUCUCAAGGGCUUAUCACCCAAAGAGGUCCACAAGGACAUGGUGGCAACGCUAGGGAAAGGUGCCCCUUCUUACAGCAUGGUGAAGAAGUGGGCUGCUGAAUUCAAACGUGGCAGAGAGAGCCUGGAAGACAACCCCCGUCCUGGAAGGUCUGUCACCGUCACCACAAAGGAGACCAUUGACAAGAUCCAUGACAUGAUCUUGAAAGAUCCACGAAUAUCACAGCGGUACAUUGCCACAGAGUUGGGUAUCUCCCAGGAACGCGUCCAUGCAGUUAUCCGAAAUUUCAAAGUCCAGAAGGCUUCAAAGUGAAAACACCACUAUCCAUAAACUGCCAUCAUUGUAGCUUUUGCUUUUAUCUAAGACUAAGUUUCACACUCCCAGCCAACAGCACUCCCUUCCUCUCUCACCUUCCCAGCACAUUGGCCUGAACAAACAGGGCUUCAAUUCUUUUCCCUGUCAUGAAUGAUAUCUGUGUAAGCUGUCUGAAACAAAUUUUAAUGUUAAAAAAUCAUAACUUGCAGGCAGACAAACUCCUUUUCAAUAGUUAGAAUUGGAAUUACACUUUUAACUUUAAUAAUACUCAAGUGGAAAGGUAUUUUCAACUGAAUUGCCCUUUUGUAAAUUGACACACUCAAAAUGGAAAAAUAAACUUUGAAAGACUUCCUCCUACUCCCACCUACUCACUGUAGCAGUUUUAUUUUUCUGCAUAGUGUAAGUGCUCAGAGGGCUUUUCUCCAACAACUCUUGACCAGUUUUUUUGUUGACUGUUGAGCCUAUCUUCCUGUCUUAUACCAGUAUUUUGAAUAUUAAAGUUCUGUGAACUGCCAAAACCACAGGGGUCAAACAUUUCGUACUCUGUCACAAGAGAAAAUCUGCAGAUGCUGGAAAUCCAAGUGACACAUACAAAAUGCUGGAGGAACUUAGCAAGCCAGACAGCAUCUGUGGGAAAAGAGUGCAGCUGAUGUUUCAAGCUGUGACCUGAAAGGCUGGUGAAAAUAGAUGAGUUAGAGUUAAAGGGCGGGGAAGGGGAGAAAGAAACACAAGGUCUGCAUGAAUCUAAGCAACAAUGGUUUUCAUCUGGCUCUCUGUUCUCAGAAGUUUUUAGAAUAACUGUUAAUUGAUUUCUAACAAAGGUGUUUGAACCUUCAGAGGUAUCAUCAAUUACAAGAUGCUUCCAUUUUAAAUAUGUCUCAAAGGAACCAUUUGUCAACUAGAUUAUUGAAGUAAACUAUGUCAUUGUAACUAUUGAAAUAGUAUUGAAUCACCUACUGUUUCCUUUGAUCUUAAGAGUAUAACAACGUGAUGUACUUUUGAGUUUGUGGGACUCUACCAAGAGUGUCUCUGCUUGUUGUGAUGAAUAAAGACUUUCAUAUUCAAAAUCUCUCCAGUUUCUCCAGUGACCUAGUCACAGUCACAACAUUUGGGGGCUCUUCCUGGAUAGAUUAAUAAUCCAAUUACCAGCAACCUCAGCAGUCUAAAGGGAGGGGGAUGAGCAUUUCAGAUCGUGACACCCCACGCUCCCCCAUACUCUGCAAGGAGUCGCAAAGUAUUAAAGAGCAUCAGAGAGCUGGAGAGGUAGAUGUUAAAAGUGUAGUGGUGUGUGUGUGUUUUGUGCAAGGGACCAGCUACCAGACAGCAUUGGAUAGUCUGUCAAGACCAACCCACCAGUUGCAAAAGGUGAUUACAGACUGAGUGUAUACUCGUUUGCUGGGCCACUGUUUAAGUGUAGCUUAGUUAUUAAGAACACUUGACUGGUGUCAAAGUUACUGUUCGGGUGCCAGAGGGUGUGUUCGGGGAACUAUAGUAGUCCAUUGUUUGUAAGUGUGUGUUUGACUGGGUGUGGAAAAACCUUCGAAUUAAAACCCAAGACAAGUGAUAGUGCUGAAAUAUUUAACUUUCUACAUAAGAGGGACACAGAAACAUUGUGGGCUCAAUUAUGAAGAGGAGAGAGCUCACAGAAUAUAUACCCCAUAAGACUGAGGAGGUUGAAUAAGGAAUAGAUAAUGCUCUGCAGAUUAAGACCUCGAGCCCAGAAUAUUGUCAGUGGUGAAAAUGCCAAUCAAAGAGGAAGGGCGAUAAAGCAGCAGUUAUUCUAUGUCAUGUAUAUUUGCAAGAGAGAACAAAGAGCCUGGAAUCACAUGUUUAUAAAUAGCAGAGCUACAGAAGAAAAGGGAUGAAGAGAAAGAACAGUGAGACAGUGUACAAGCAAAGCAGAACAGAGAGACACGGGUGAGAAACAGAUAGAACUUACAACAAUACAAGAAUCAAUUUGUCAAGGAACUGUGCAGAUUGAGUGAAUAAUGGAAUAGCAGGUGGGUGCUAACGAAGUCCUGACGAAGGGUCUCGGUCCAAAACGUCGACAGUGCUUCUCCCUAUAGAUGCUGCCUGGCCUGCUGUGUUCCACCAGCAUUUUCUGUGUGUUGUUUGAAUCUACAGCAUCUUCAGAUUUCUUCGUGUUUGCCCAAUAUUACAUGUAUUUGUUGGAAAAAGUAUGUAAACCUUUGCUUUCAGUAACUGGUGUGACCCCCUUGUCCCUCAAUGGUUGCAAACUGUCCAGGCCUGAGGCAGCAAAACAGUCCCAAACCAUGAUGCUCUUUCCACCCUGCUUCACAGUUGAGAUGAGAUUUUGGUGUUGGUGUGCAGUGCCCUUUUUCCUCCAGACAUAGCAAUGUGCAUUUCUGCCAAGAGCAUUGUAGAACAUCCAGGUGGUCUUUUGCAUUUUUUUUGGAGAGCAGUGGUGUCCUUCCAUGAACACUAUUCUUGUUCAGUGUUUUUCUUACAGUGCACUCAUGAACAGAGACUUCAGCAAGUUCCAGACUUUUCUGCAGGUCUUUUGCUGUUACCCUUGGUUUUCUUUCACCUCCUUCGGCACUGCACAUUGUGCUCUUGGUAUGUUCUUUGCAGGACACCCACUCCUAAGGAAAGUAGCAACAGCACUGCAUUUCCUCCAUUUGUAGACAAUUUCUCUUACUGUGGACUGAUGAACACUCAGGACUUUUAAGAAAUGUUUUUGUAGCCUUUUCCAACUUCAUGAAUCUCUACAAUUGUUGUUCCAAGGUCCUCUGAAAGUUGUUUUGGUCGAGGCAUGGUGCACAUAAACAGAUCCUUCUUGAGAAGAGCAAGCUCUGUCAGUAAACUGACUAUGUGUGUCUUUUUAAGGGCAGGGCAUCUCUACAGUCUGCAUCUGCAAUCUCAUCUCACUGUUUGGAAAACCUGACUGCAAAUAGCUUUUGUAGAAGGCAUUACUUCAAAGGUUCACAUACUUUUUCCAGCAAAUACAUGUAAUAUUGGAUCAUUUUUCUCCAUAAACAAAUGACCAAGUAUAAUGUUUUUGUGUUAUUUAUUUAAUUUGGUUGUCUUUAUCUAGUUUUAGGACCUGCAUGAAGAUCUGAUCAUAUUUUAGGCCAUAGUAAUGCAGAAAUAGAGAAAAUUCUACAGGUUUCACAAACAUUCCGGCACUAGUGUACAUGUGUUGGUUAAGGCUAAACGUCUGAGAAAUAUGUAUGACAGUAUGAUCCCAGGGCUACAGGAUGGAACAUGGGCAACUAAUGGGAAUGCCAGUAAUGAGGAGAGGUAUUGGAACUUUAAAGAAGAAAUGAGGUAGCAACUUGGAAGAGAAGAGAGUAACUGGUAAAUGAUAAUGUUAGUUGUUAACCUGCCAUGGACUUUGCAGAAUGGAAAUACUGGCUCGAUGAGGACUACUCAGGGCUGGGCAGUCCAGGGAAUGAUGAUCCAGUCAUCAUAUGUGUUUUAAGUUUGUGUCUAUUUAUUUCUUUGUUUCAGAAUUGAUAUUGGAGAGAGAGACCCAAUUUCUGCGGUGGUCAUGGGGAAUCCAGGUUAAGAUGAUGGAAUUGGCUGGAACGUCACC